This is a long non-coding RNA of Myotis myotis, 1034 nucleotides long. RefSeq lists it as uncharacterized. The record is from RefSeq and is a predicted model, not a curated record. The transcript is spliced from 3 exons. NCBI's taxonomy places the organism in Eukaryota, Metazoa, Chordata, Mammalia, Chiroptera, Vespertilionidae.
UGAGAUCGCUUCUGAAGUGAAGAGAGCCGAGUGAACCCAGGCUUCCUUAUUGGGAACCAGGCCUUGUUACCUGCUCCUCCCCCAGUCACCAGAGGGUGCGGUGUCCUUGGAGAGGCUCCUGGCACCAGGAUCUGAGAUGAGAGGGGAGAAAGAAGGCUCCGUCCAUUAUACAACGCGUACACUUGCUUCGUGCCGAAAUGCUCAUUGGCCACCUGGAGCAGAUAUACAGCUUUGCAGCAAGAUAAAAGGCCUCUGCAUUGGACGCCACUCAUGAAGUGAUCACCAGACUAGAAGACGAAAGAUGAAAGAGGUCAUGUUUGCUUGAAAUCACUCAGUGGCCAAAGCAGUUCUGCUUCUUUCUCCCCAUGUCCUCCUCUGUACUACAUGCCUUCAGAGCCACAUACUUUCUGAGAGGUUUAUAAUGCAUCACCAUUUGAUGCCCCAAGGAUUUUCUAAGUCAUUGUAAUCAACACUUACUAAGCCCCCUCAAGUAAUUAAAGCCCUUUAAUCCUCAAAUGUGAAAGAAAACAACAAGGCUUUAUCUUUGUGUCUGUGUUGGAAAACGUCUCUCCUGAAUCUCAUCACUCUUGAUAUCAAUUAUCCAACGAAGUGUAGAGACACUCUCAGGAAAACUCACAGGGCAAAAUUAAUUUUCAUGCCUUUAAUUUACUAAGAGCUGAUGAAGUAACUGUAGUUUACUGACACUAUCUUUGUCUGCCCUGUUGAUCUCUAAUCCCUUUCACAUCUGCAGGCUCAUCUCCCUCUCUCCCCCAAGCAGGCCCCUCUGGGUCCUUCUGCUCCAAGCUUAUUCCUGUCUGUGGGCCAUUGUUUGUGAUAUGUCCUGUCACCUGAAAGAAUUAUGUGUCUCCCUCAACUUAUUAAAACUAAGAUCACUUUCUGGGUUUCACUAGCAGUCCUAUAUUCCUUUCCUGAUUUAUUACUGUGUUAGUGGACAUUUGUGGCACUUGUGUAGUCAUUAGUCUUGUUUUCCCAACUGGAUUGGGCAUUUAUUGCCCUCAUGUUAAGCAGACUCC